This 441-nucleotide long non-coding RNA is filed under the name Felis catus (domestic cat). RNAcentral describes it as "lncRNA (ENSFCAG00000042482.2)". Lineage: Eukaryota; Metazoa; Chordata; Mammalia; Carnivora; Felidae. The record is from RNAcentral.
GGGAAAUAAUGAAUGAAGAAGAAAUAAAGGGUAGUUGCGGGAGGCCCUGAGCCUAAGGGGAGGGGCCUUAAGGAGGGCAAAGAGCAGCUCACCCGCUGAAGACGGGCAGCAGAGGUCAGAACCUCAGGGGGUGAGCUGCUGCUGGUGGGAGGGCCUCAAGGUCUUCAGCAGCAUGGCCUUGGCUUGCAGGUACGUGUAGAAUUUUAUGAUCGACACAAAAUGACAGCAGCGAACAGACGUCCAAAUCCCAAUGUUUCUUUGUUGAGCACGGGCUCACGCUGCAGCGGAACCCUCGGAGUAUGGGGUGGUGCCACGGGGAAGCCAUCUUACAGGAAGAGAAAGACAAGAUGGUGGAGGAAGCCGCUAGGAAAGCUCUUCUCUAUGGCUCAGUGUUCUGUAGAAGAUGGAAGUAAAAUGGGUGCGUGUGGACUCUGCCGUUAG